CUCGUAGGCGGUUCGUCGCGUCCGGUGUGAAAGUCCAUCGCUUAACGGUGGAUCCGCGCCGGGUACGGGCGGGCUUGAGUGCGGUAGGGGAGACUGGAAUUCCCGGUGUAACGGUGGAAUGUGUAGAUAUCGGGAGGAACACCAGUGGCGAAGGCGGCUUCCUGGCACACAACUGACGCUCAUGUGCGAAAGCCAGGGCAGCGAAG
RNAcentral lists this ribosomal RNA (206 nucleotides) under uncultured bacterium. Its description in RNAcentral is "partial 16S ribosomal RNA". It matches the Rfam family "Bacterial small subunit ribosomal RNA", at positions 568 to 773 of the family's 1533-position model. The record is from RNAcentral.